Molecule: long non-coding RNA, 226 nt
Filed under: Mytilus galloprovincialis (Mediterranean mussel)
Lineage: Eukaryota; Metazoa; Mollusca; Bivalvia; Mytilida; Mytilidae
Source: RNAcentral
UAUAUCUACUCUAUUAGGUCUCUAGUUUGGAUAGUGUAUAACUUGCAAAUUAAAAUCAUACUCCUUCCAAAUUUCUUUCUUUAAAAUAUUAUGGAUGAAAUAGCAAGUAAAGAAUGAAAUUAAAUUGGAUGAAAUGUGUCAAUUUUUUUGGUAAAGUAGUAUGUCUGAAGUUGUCAAACUUAAUGAUAGACCCUUCAGGGGCGGAUCCAGUCAUUUUAAAAAGGGG